CUCAAGGAUCGAAUGCAAUUACGCCGGCCAUAUAUACUUGCUAUGCUGUCUGAGUCUCCCAAGGGCAGCAUAACAGUACAAGGGGAGUGACAUCUUUAUGAGACAGGCAGGAAUGUCAAAGACAGUAGAAGGACCGACCAUCAGCUGUGAGUAGCUCACAGAGUGCAGCCUCCUGCGGAGAAUCAGAGAGGUGGGGGUUACUGGCUUUCCUCUGUGCCCUAGAGGUUACUGGUUUCUGUUGAACUCUUAACGUACAUAAAAGGACAAGACAGGGAGUAAAAACAACUCAGGUGCUGGAGGAAUCCACCUGCUCGUCGUC
Molecule: long non-coding RNA, 319 nt
Organism: Peromyscus eremicus (cactus mouse)
Lineage: Eukaryota; Metazoa; Chordata; Mammalia; Rodentia; Cricetidae
Exons: 3
Source: RefSeq, a predicted model, not a curated record